This 73-nucleotide transfer RNA is filed under the name compost metagenome. Its description in RNAcentral is "tRNA-Thr". The record is from RNAcentral.
CUGGACGGUGGCGGGCGCCGCGGCAGCGCUGGUGCCGCUGGCGUGGUGGCUGGUUCCGGACCGCCCGUCCAGC